UACGGAGGGGGCUAGCGUUGUUCGGAAUUACUGGGCGUAAAGCGCACGUAGGCGGCUUUGUAAGUUAGAGGUGAAAGCCCGGGGCUCAACUCCGGAAUUGCCUUUAAGACUGCAUCGCUAGAAUUGUGGAGAGGUAAGUGGAAUUCCGAGUGUAGAGGUGAAAUUCGUAGAUAUUCGGAAGAACACCAGUGGCGAAGGCGACUUACUGGACACAUAUUGACGCUGAGGAGCGAAAGCGUGGGGAG
RNAcentral lists this ribosomal RNA (245 nucleotides) under uncultured bacterium. RNAcentral describes it as "partial 16S ribosomal RNA". It matches the Rfam family "Bacterial small subunit ribosomal RNA", at positions 524 to 768 of the family's 1533-position model. The record is from RNAcentral.